UUAAGCGACUAAGCGUACACGGUGGAUGCCCUGGCAGUCAGAGGCGAUGAAGGACGUGCUAAUCUGCGAUAAGCGUCGGUAAGGUGAUAUGAACCGUUAUAACCGGCGAUUUCCGAAUGGGGAAACCCAGUGUGAUUCGWCACACUAUCAUUAACUGAAUCCAUAGGUUAAUGAGGCGAACCGGGGGAACUGAAACAUCUAAGUACCCCGAGGAAAAGAAAUCAACCGAGAUUCCCCCAGUAGCGGCGAGCGAACGGGGAGCAGCCCAGAGCCUGAAUCAGURUGUGUGUUAGUGGAAGCGUCUGGAAAGGCGCGCGAUACAGGGUGACAGCCCCGUACACAAAAAUGCACAUGCUGUGAGCUCGAUGAGUAGGGCGGGACACGUGGUAUCCUGUCUGAAUAUGGGGGGACCAUCCUCCAAGGCUAAAUACUCCUGACUGACCGAUAGUGAACCAGUACCGUGAGGGAAAGGCGAAAAGAACCCCGGCGAGGGGAGUGAAAAAGAACCUGAAACCGUGUACGUACAAGCAGUGGGAGCACGCUUAGGCGUGUGACUGCGUACCUUUUGUAUAAUGGGUCAGCGACUUAUAUUCUGUAGCAAGGUUAACCGAAUAGGGGAGCCGAAGGGAAACCGAGUCUUAACUGGGCGUUAAGUUGCAGGGUAUAGACCCGAAACCCGGUGAUCUAGCCAUGGGCAGGUUGAAGGUUGGGUAACACUAACUGGAGGACCGAACCGACUAAUGUUGAAAAAUUAGCGGAUGACUUGUGGCUGGGGGUGAAAGGCCAAUCAAACCGGGAGAUAGCUGGUUCUCCCCGAAAGCUAUUUAGGUAGCGCCUCGUGAAUUCAUCUCCGGGGGUAGAGCACUGUUUCGGCAAGGGGGUCAUCCCGACUUACCAACCCGAUGCAAACUGCGAAUACCGGAGAAUGUUAUCACGGGAGACACACGGCGGGUGCUAACGUCCGUCGUGAAGAGGGAAACAACCCAGACCGCCAGCUAAGGUCCCAAAGUCAUGGUUAAGUGGGAAACGAUGUGGGAAGGCCCAGACAGCCAGGAUGUUGGCUUAGAAGCAGCCAUCAUUUAAAGAAAGCGUAAUAGCUCACUGGUCGAGUCGGCCUGCGCGGAAGAUGUAACGGGGCUAAACCAUGCACCGAAGCUGCGGCAGCGACGCACUACGGUGCUGAAGCAACAAAUGCCCUGCUUCCAGGAAAAGCCUCUAAGCAUCAGGUAACAUCAAAUCGUACCCCAAACCGACACAGGUGGUCAGGUAGAGAAUACCAAGGCGCUUGAGAGAACUCGGGUGAAGGAACUAGGCAAAAUGGUGCCGUAACUUCGGGAGAAGGCACGCUGAUAUGUAGGUGAAGCGACUUGCUCGUGGAGCUGAAAUCAGUCGAAGAUACCAGCUGGCUGCAACUGUUUAUUAAAAACACAGCACUGUGCAAACACGAAAGUGGACGUAUACGGUGUGACGCCUGCCCGGUGCCGGAAGGUUAAUUGAUGGGGUYAGCGCAAGCGAAGCUCUUGAUCGAAGCCCCGGUAAACGGCGGCCGUAACUAUAACGGUCCUAAGGUAGCGAAAUUCCUUGUCGGGUAAGUUCCGACCUGCACGAAUGGCGUAAUGAUGGCCAGGCUGUCUCCACCCGAGACUCAGUGAAAUUGAACUCGCUGUGAAGAUGCAGUGUACCCGCGGCAAGACGGAAAGACCCCGUGAACCUUUACUAUAGCUUGACACUGAACAUUGAGCCUUGAUGUGUAGGAUAGGUGGGAGGCUUUGAAGUGUGGACGCCAGUCUGCAUGGAGCCGACCUUGAAAUACCACCCUUUAAUGUUUGAUGUUCUAACGUKGACCCGURAUCCGGGUUGCGGACAGUGUCUGGUGGGUAGUUUGACUGGGGCGGUCUCCUCCUAAAGAGUAACGGAGGAGCACGAAGGUUGGCUAAUCCUGGUCGGACAUCAGGAGGUUAGUGCAAUGGCAUAAGCCAGCUUGACUGCGAGCGUGACGGCGCGAGCAGGUGCGAAAGCAGGUCAUAGUGAUCCGGUGGUUCUGAAUGGAAGGGCCAUCGCUCAACGGAUAAAAGGUACUCCGGGGAUAACAGGCUGAUACCGCCCAAGAGUUCAUAUCGACGGCGGUGUUUGGCACCUCGAUGUCGGCUCAUCACAUCCUGGGGCUGAAGUAGGUCCCAAGGGUAUGGCUGUUCGCCAUUUAAAGUGGUACGCGAGCUGGGUUUAGAACGUCGUGAGACAGUUCGGUCCCUAUCUGCCGUGGGCGCUGGAGAACUGAGGGGGGCUGCUCCUAGUACGAGAGGACCGGAGUGGACGCAUCACUGGUGUUCGGGUUGUCAUGCCAAUGGCACUGCCCGGUAGCUAAAUGCGGAAGAGAUAAGUGCUGAAAGCAUCUAAGCACGAAACUUGCCCCGAGAUGAGUUCUCCCUGAC
RNAcentral lists this ribosomal RNA (2432 nucleotides) under Escherichia coli. Its description in RNAcentral is "bacterial LSU rRNA". The record is from RNAcentral. Lineage: Bacteria; Pseudomonadati; Pseudomonadota; Gammaproteobacteria; Enterobacterales; Enterobacteriaceae.